CUUCGGGUCUAGCGGCGGACGGGUGAGUAACGCGUGGGAACGUGCCCUCUUCUUCGGAAUAGCCCUGGGAAACUGGGAGUAAUGCCGAAUACGCCGAGCUAUAGAGAUAUGGCUUGGGAAAGAUUUAUCGGAGGAGGAUCGGCCCGCGUUGGAUUAGGUAGUUGGUGGGGUAAUGGCCUACCAAGCCGACGAUCCAUAGCUGGUUUGAGAGGAUGACCAGCCACACUGGGACUGAGACACGGCCCAGACUCCUACGGGAGGCAGCAGUGGGGAAUCUUGGACAAUGGGGGCAACCCUGAUCCAGCCAUGCCGCGUGAUCGAUGAAGGCCUUAGGG
RNAcentral lists this ribosomal RNA (335 nucleotides) under uncultured bacterium. RNAcentral describes it as "bacterial SSU rRNA". It matches the Rfam family "Bacterial small subunit ribosomal RNA", at positions 84 to 422 of the family's 1533-position model. The record is from RNAcentral.